CCUUCCCUCGGGUCGGGUCACCGCGCGGGUCAAAAGGCCACUAAACGACGCCGUUUUUAUAUCACGCAUAAAAAACAAGGCACUAAGCCACUCAGCAGACCCGCAAACCCUAAGCUAGAAACCCCCUCUGCGCGCCGCUCGACGGACUAACGUCUGGAGGUCCCAAUUCCUCACCCGUUUCCGAUCGCGACGGAAGGAGCGAAAGAUCGACCACCAGGUACGGGUACGGAGCUGUGGACGUGGCGGAUACGGAGGCUAGCACGUGCGACGGGAGGACCGAAGGCGAUGUGUUGCGAGGCUGCUGCGGUGCUGGGAGGGGGCUGUUGCUAAAGGCUAGGGUUUCUGAUUCUUUUUGGGUGUUGGGCUGUAUGAUUGUUGGGCUGGGUGUAGUGGGCUAGGCUAGUGUUUGGGCCACUUGGAUUUAAGCCUGCUAUUGUAACAAAACUGGACAUUUUAUUUAUUUUAUUUUAUAUUUUGGUUUUAAUACUAGGGCUCGGGUUUUAAUUCUUAUUGGGCCAUUCGGGCCAUUGUAAUUUUGGGUUUGUUUUUCUGGUAUGGGCCCGGGCAAAAAUGGGCUCUUACAAAUUUGACCUCGAAAAUUUUAAUGAACGGGGAUUACUAUAUUUGUACCUAGAUUGUAACAGGGUGAUAAACCAAAAUCUGUAACCUUGAGUGGUGAAAUCUCUUCUUUGUUCAACAAGAAAAUUUUCAA
Gossypium raimondii (Peruvian cotton) is the source of this 712-nucleotide long non-coding RNA. RefSeq lists it as uncharacterized. The transcript has 2 exons. The record is from RefSeq and is a predicted model, not a curated record. NCBI's taxonomy places the organism in Eukaryota, Viridiplantae, Streptophyta, Magnoliopsida, Malvales, Malvaceae.